RNAcentral lists this ribosomal RNA (460 nucleotides) under uncultured bacterium. Its description in RNAcentral is "partial 16S ribosomal RNA". It matches the Rfam family "Bacterial small subunit ribosomal RNA", at positions 338 to 795 of the family's 1533-position model. The record is from RNAcentral.
CCUACGGGAGGCAGCAGUGAGGAAUAUUUGUCAAUGGACGCAAGUCUGAACCAGCCAUGCCGCGUGCAGGAAGACGGCUCUAUGAGUUGUAAACUGCUUUUGUACGAGGGUAAACGCAGAUACGCGUAUCUGUCUGAAAGUAUCGUACGAAUAAGGAUCGGCUAACUCCGUGCCAGCAGCCGCGGUAAUACGGAGGAUUCAAGCGUUAUCCGGAUUUAUUGGGUUUAAAGGGUGUGUAGGCGGUCGGAUAAGUUAGAGGUGAAAUCCCGAGGCUCAACGUCGGAAUUGCCUCUGAUACUGUUCGGCUAGAGAGUAGUAGCGGUAGGCGGAAUGUAUGGUGUAGCGGUGAAAUGCUUAGAGAUCAUACAGAACACAGAUUGCGAAGGCAGCUUACUAAGCUACUUCUGACGUUGAGGCACGAAAGCGUGGGGAGCAAACAGGAUUAGAUACCCGGGUAGUC